UUUCAGAUUGGAACGCUGGCAGCAGGGCCUAACCCCUGCAAGUCGAGCGGAUGGCUGGAGCUGCUCCUGGAUUCAGCGGCGGACGGGUGAAGUGUCACCCGGGAAUCUGCCUGGUAGGGGAUUACGGUCGGAAACGGGCGCUAAUACCACCUGCUACGUCCUGAGGGAGAAAGUGGGGAUCUUCGGACCUCACCGCCAUCAGAUGAGCCUAGGUCGGAUUACUAGCUAGUUGGUGGGUAAAGGCCUACCAAGGCGACGAUCCGUAACUGGUCUGAGGAUGAUCAGUCCACUGGGAACUGAGGACACGGUCCAGACUCCGCUUUGAGGCAGGCAGUGGGAAUAUUGGACAAUGGGCGAAAGCCUGAUCCAGCCAUGCCGCAUGGCGGGAAGGUCUUCGAUUGCAGCACUUUAAGUUGAGGAAGGCAGGUUAAAUUGCUGUUUGACGUUCGCCAGAAUGGCACCGGCUAACUUCAGCCAGCAGCCGCGGUAAUGAAGGUGCAAGCGUUAAUCGAAUACUGGGCGUAAAGCGCGUAGGUAAGGUUCAGCAAGUUGGAUGAAAUCCCCGGGCUCAACCUGGGAACUGCAUCCAAAACCACUGGCUGAAGUACGGUAGAGGUGGUGGAAAUUUCCUGUGUAGCGGUGAAACGCGCAGAUAGGAAGGAACACCAGUGGCGAAGGCGACCACCGGACCGCUGAUACUGACACUGAGGUGCGAAAAGCGUAGAGCAAACAGGAUUAGAUCACCUGGUAGUCCACGCCGUACGAUGUCGACCAGCCGUCAGUCCUGAGAUCAGUGGCGCAGCUAACGCGAUAAGUCGACCGCCUGGGGAGAGUACGGCCGCAAGGUUAAACUCAAAUGAAUUGACGGGGCCCGCACAAGCGGGUGGAGCAUGUGGAAUUCGAAGCAACGCGAAGAACCUUACCUGGCCUUGACAUGCUGAGAACUUUCCAGGAUGGAUCGGUGCCUUCGGGAACUCGGCACAGGUGCCGCAUGGCUGUCGUCAGCUCGUGUCGUAAGAUGUUGAAGUCCCGUAACGAGCGCAACCCUUGUCCUUAGUUAAGCACCCGGGUGGGCACUCCUAAGAGGCCUGCCGGUGACAAACCGGAGGAAGGUGGGAUGACGUCAGUCAUCGCGGCCUUUACGGCCAGGGCGCACGUGCUACAAUGGUCGGCAAAGGUUAAAGCCGCGAGGUGGAGCUAAUCCCGCCAAAACCGAUCGUAGUCCGGAUCGCAGUCUACCGCUCAUUGCGAAGUCGGAAUCGCUAGUAAUCGUGAAUCAGAAUGUCACGGUGAAUGCGCGGGCCUUGCACACCGCCCGUCACACCAUGGAGUGGGUUGCUCCAGAAGUAGCUAGUCUAACCGCAAGGGGACGGUUACCACGAGUGAUUCACUGACU
Molecule: ribosomal RNA, 1396 nt
Filed under: metagenome
Description: bacterial SSU rRNA
Rfam family: Bacterial small subunit ribosomal RNA
Source: RNAcentral